This 762-nucleotide ribosomal RNA is filed under the name Triticum aestivum (bread wheat). RNAcentral describes it as "partial small subunit ribosomal RNA". The record is from RNAcentral. Lineage: Eukaryota; Viridiplantae; Streptophyta; Magnoliopsida; Poales; Poaceae.
AUGAUCCAAAUCAUCGAUGAUCCUAGUGCCGAACGGAUGGCACCUCCAUGUUCAACACACUCCAAACUGAUGGAAAAGGCUUGGCAAUCCAGUUUUAAUUUGGAUGCAAUCUGCAUCAAGGAAUCAGAAAAUCGAGCUCGCAAGCAGGCUGAAUAUUUGAGAACUAGUCUAGAGGAGUAUAGUCUUGAGCUUUGUGUAAAAGGAGCAAAUGAAGCCGAAACUGCAUGCCAGCGAAGGCUUUGCAUUGCUGAAGCAGAACUGGAAGAGUUAAGGACCGAUGUAGAUGCAUCUGAAAGAGAUGUUCUGGGACUCAAGGAGGCAAUAAGAAUUAAAGAAACGGAAGGAGAUGCUUAUAUCUCUGAAAUUGAGACAAUUGGUCAAGCAUAUGAAGACAUGCAGACACAAAACCAGCAUCUUCUUCAACAGGUUGCCGACAGAGAUGAUUUUAACAUAAAGCUAGUAUCAGAUAAUGUGAAGACAAAGCAAGCCUCUGCUUCCCUUCUCUCUGAAAAGCAUUUGUUACAGAAGCAACUCCAUCAGGUGAACAGUUCACCGGAGUCAUCUAAACAAAAACUCUCCCGUGGUGAAGAGCAGAUGUGCCACAACAGUUUCAGAUUCAUAGCCAUAAAAAGGAUCAGAUUCAAUCAAAGUAAUUAUUUCAGGAUCAACAGAGAAUUCAUAAUCCUUAUCAGUAACACAGAUAGCAUAGCUUCAUUCUCCUCAACAAUACCACAUCGAAUCAUGCCAGUUUGUAAUUCCUGA